AUGGGCGUGGCACGGGGCGGGGCACCACGUGCACGGCUUGGUAUCUACAAGGCAUGCUGGGUGGGUGGGUGCCCUGAUGCAGCCGUCCUCGCAGCCAUCGACGAUGCCAUAUAUGAUGGCGUGGAUGUCAUGUCACUAUCGAUUGGAAGUGUUGGUAAGGAGAUUCCUGGGACACUGCAUGCUGUACAAAGAGGGACAUCCGUUGUGUUCAGUGGAGGGAAUGAUGGACCUGUGCCGCAGACUGUAACUAAUGCAGAACCAUGGGUUACGACGGUUGCCGCUAGCACGAUUGACCGUUCUUUCCCGACGUUGAUAUCGAUAGGAAACAAAGAAAAGCUUGUGGGGCAAUCUCUAAACUACAAUGCGGCUAUGAACAACAGCGGAUUUCAGGACCUUGUUCAUGUGCUGAGCUGCGACGCCGAAUCACUGGCGUUGAGCAAUGUCACUGGCAAAACCGUCCUCUGUUAUGCACCAGCCCAGGCAGCCACCACGCCGCCCAAGCAAGCACUCCCUUUGGCCAUCAAGACUACUGUCGAGGCAGGGGCCAAGGGCCUCAUCUUUGCGCAGUACACCGCCAACAAUCUUGACAACCUGGCUGGGUGCAAGGGAUUCAUGCCUUGCGCGCUGGUGGAUUUCGAGAUCGCACAUAGAAUUUACUUCUACUGGGAGAUGACUGAGAAUCCGGUGGUGAAGGUGUCGCCGGCAGUAAGCAUUGUCGGAAACGGGGUGUUGUCACCAAGGAUCGCCUCCUUCUCGUCCAGAGGUCCAAGCCUGUUGUUCCCUAGCAUACUCAAGCCCGACAUUACUGCACCUGGUGUCAGCAUCUUGGUAGCUUCGGGCAGCUCGUAUGCCUUCAGCUCGGGGACAUCCAUGGCGUGCCCGCAUGUCUCUGCGGUGACCGCGCUGCUCAAGUCGGUUCAUCCUGACUGGUCACCUGCCAUGAUCAAGUCCGCAAUCGUCACCACAGCGUAUGUGACCGAUCAUUUUGGGAUGCCGAUCCAAGCAGAAGGGGUCCCAAGGAAACUAGCCGACCCCUUCGACUUUGGUGGUGGCCACAUGAACCCAGAUAGGGCCGUUGACCCUGGCUUGGUUUACGAUGUGGAUGCAACGGAAUACAACAAGACGGCUGCGAUUGUUGAAGCUCCAGCGGGGAUAGAUGUGCUCGUGGAGCCAUCUGUGAUCCGUUUCACCCAAGGCGGUAGUAAAAGCGCGAAGUUUAUGGUGAGAUUCACAGCAAGGCAGAGAGUACAAGGAGGGUACACUUUCGGGAGCUUGACAUGGUCAGCCGGAGGCACUCGCUCGGCGCUAGCAAGCUACUUCUACUCCCUUUCCCUAGACAACAACAUUACGGCUGGAGUUAGGAGACACCUCAUCGCCAGCCCCCAUGCGGCGAUGCCGAGAGCACUCUUAUAUCAUCCAGAAAGUAUACAUCUAGCAAUAUUGCAAGAAAACUUUAGGCGAGCACAACACGCCACACCGCAGCCCAACCCAAGGCUCGUGGCCCAUUUCCGUAGCGAGCACACCUCAUUUUAUAAAGAUCUGACAACUGAUAGCCGCCCCGUGCCACCCCUCACCGGCCCCACAUGUCACACCAGUCGUCCACCUCACACGCACGACCCACACAGCGUCGAAAUCGCCGGCCACCACCCCACAUUGCAAUGA
Molecule: ribosomal RNA, 1662 nt
Filed under: Triticum aestivum (bread wheat)
Lineage: Eukaryota; Viridiplantae; Streptophyta; Magnoliopsida; Poales; Poaceae
Description: partial small subunit ribosomal RNA
Source: RNAcentral